GUGCUCCACUAGGCAGCACAUACACUAAAAGUGGAACUAUAAGGUGAUUAGAAUGGCCCUUGUGCAAGGAUGACAUGCAAAUUUGUGAAGCAUUCCAUACUUUU
This is a small nuclear RNA of Diceros bicornis minor, 104 nucleotides long. The record is from RefSeq and is a predicted model, not a curated record. NCBI's taxonomy places the organism in Eukaryota, Metazoa, Chordata, Mammalia, Perissodactyla, Rhinocerotidae.